UUUCCGUAGGUGAACCUGCGGAAGGAUCAUUAUAAAUGAAAAACGAAUAACUUCAGGGAAGAAGGGAACCUGCACGGUGACCUCCCCUGUCGGGCCACCCAAUACCUUCAAAAUGCCGCCGUCCUAGCGGUGGCAGACGAAAAAAAAACAAGUCAAACAAAAUAGAAACAGGCACGGUGGCCCGUUCACCUUCACACAACCCUCCGAGUACCGCUUCCAUGUUGCUUCCCCGCAAAUCCACCUCUUUGGUGAGCGCGGGGGAGGUCCGCAUCAAAUUCACCUGAAUGUCACAGCAGUCAGACAGCCAUUCAUGGAAACAAUAAAACUUUCAACAACGGAUCUCUUGGUUCCC
Molecule: unclassified non-coding RNA, 352 nt
Filed under: plant metagenome
Description: partial contains small subunit ribosomal RNA, internal transcribed spacer 1, and 5.8S ribosomal RNA
Source: RNAcentral